Molecule: long non-coding RNA, 91 nt
Organism: Xenia sp. Carnegie-2017
Lineage: Eukaryota; Metazoa; Cnidaria; Anthozoa; Malacalcyonacea; Xeniidae
Exons: 3
Source: RefSeq, a predicted model, not a curated record
UCAACGCGGAGUACAUGUUAUAGAAAUGAUUGUAAAGGUAAUCGAUAUUAUUUGUAACGAGAGCUGAGGAAAUAAACUGACCAAUCAUAGU